This 2930-nucleotide ribosomal RNA is filed under the name Escherichia coli. RNAcentral describes it as "23S ribosomal RNA". It matches the Rfam family "Bacterial large subunit ribosomal RNA". Lineage: Bacteria; Pseudomonadati; Pseudomonadota; Gammaproteobacteria; Enterobacterales; Enterobacteriaceae. The record is from RNAcentral.
GGGUUGUGAGGUUAAGCGACUAAGCGUACACGGUGGAUGCCCUGGCAGUCAGAGGCGAUGAAGGACGUGCUAAUCUGCGAUAAGCGUCGGUAAGGUGAUAUGAACCGUUAUAACCGGCGAUUUCCGAAUGGGGAAACCCAGUGUGUUUCGACACACUAUCAUUAACUGAAUCCAUAGGUUAAUGAGGCGAACCGGGGGAACUGAAACAUCUAAGUACCCCGAGGAAAAGAAAUCAACCGAGAUUCCCCCAGUAGCGGCGAGCGAACGGGGAGCAGCCCAGAGCCUGAAUCAGUGUGUGUGUUAGUGGAAGCGUCUGGAAAGGCGCGCGAUACAGGGUGACAGCCCCGUACACAAAAAUGCACAUGCUGUGAGCUCGAUGAGUAGGGCGGGACACGUGGUAUCCUGUCUGAAUAUGGGGGGACCAUCCUCCAAGGCUAAAUACUCCUGACUGACCGAUAGUGAACCAGUACCGUGAGGGAAAGGCGAAAAGAACCCCGGCGAGGGGAGUGAAAAAGAACCUGAAACCGUGUACGUACAAGCAGUGGGAGCACGCUUAGGCGUGUGACUGCGUACCUUUUGUAUAAUGGGUCAGCGACUUAUAUUCUGUAGCAAGGUUAACCGAAUAGGGGAGCCGAAGGGAAACCGAGUCUUAACUGGGCGUUAAGUUGCAGGGUAUAGACCCGAAACCCGGUGAUCUAGCCAUGGGCAGGUUGAAGGUUGGGUAACACUAACUGGAGGACCGAACCGACUAAUGUUGAAAAAUUAGCGGAUGACUUGUGGCUGGGGGUGAAAGGCCAAUCAAACCGGGAGAUAGCUGGUUCUCCCCGAAAGCUAUUUAGGUAGCGCCUCGUGAAUUCAUCUCCGGGGGUAGAGCACUGUUUCGGCAAGGGGGUCAUCCCGACUUACCAACCCGAUGCAAACUGCGAAUACCGGAGAAUGUUAUCACGGGAGACACACGGCGGGUGCUAACGUCCGUCGUGAAGAGGGAAACAACCCAGACCGCCAGCUAAGGUCCCAAAGUCAUGGUUAAGUGGGAAACGAUGUGGGAAGGCCCAGACAGCCAGGAUGUUGGCUUAGAAGCAGCCAUCAUUUAAAGAAAGCGUAAUAGCUCACUGGUCGAGUCGGCCUGCGCGGAAGAUGUAACGGGGCUAAACCAUGCACCGAAGCUGCGGCAGCGACGCUUAUGCGUUGUUGGGUAGGGGAGCGUUCUGUAAGCCUGUGAAGGUGUGCUGUGAGGCAUGCUGGAGGUAUCAGAAGUGCGAAUGCUGACAUAAGUAACGAUAAAGCGGGUGAAAAGCCCGCUCGCCGGAAGACCAAGGGUUCCUGUCCAACGUUAAUCGGGGCAGGGUGAGUCGACCCCUAAGGCGAGGCCGAAAGGCGUAGUCGAUGGGAAACAGGUUAAUAUUCCUGUACUUGGUGUUACUGCGAAGGGGGGACGGAGAAGGCUAUGUUGGCCGGGCGACGGUUGUCCCGGUUUAAGCGUGUAGGCUGGUUUUCCAGGCAAAUCCGGAAAAUCAAGGCUGAGGCGUGAUGACGAGGCACUACGGUGCUGAAGCAACAAAUGCCCUGCUUCCAGGAAAAGCCUCUAAGCAUCAGGUAACAUCAAAUCGUACCCCAAACCGACACAGGUGGUCAGGUAGAGAAUACCAAGGCGCUUGAGAGAACUCGGGUGAAGGAACUAGGCAAAAUGGUGCCGUAACUUCGGGAGAAGGCACGCUGAUAUGUAGGUGAAGUCCCUUGCGGAUGGAGCUGAAAUCAGUCGAAGAUACCAGCUGGCUGCAACUGUUUAUUAAAAACACAGCACUGUGCAAACACGAAAGUGGACGUAUACGGUGUGACGCCUGCCCGGUGCCGGAAGGUUAAUUGAUGGGGUCAGCGCAAGCGAAGCUCUUGAUCGAAGCCCCGGUAAACGGCGGCCGUAACUAUAACGGUCCUAAGGUAGCGAAAUUCCUUGUCGGGUAAGUUCCGACCUGCACGAAUGGCGUAAUGAUGGCCAGGCUGUCUCCACCCGAGACUCAGUGAAAUUGAACUCGCUGUGAAGAUGCAGUGUACCCGCGGCAAGACGGAAAGACCCCGUGAACCUUUACUAUAGCUUGACACUGAACAUUGAGCCUUGAUGUGUAGGAUAGGUGGGAGGCUUGGAAGUGUGGACGCCAGUCUGCAUGGAGCCGACCUUGAAAUACCACCCUUUAAUGUUUGAUGUUCUAACGUUGACCCGUAAUCCGGGUUGCGGACAGUGUCUGGUGGGUAGUUUGACUGGGGCGGUCUCCUCCUAAAGAGUAACGGAGGAGCACGAAGGUUGGCUAAUCCUGGUCGGACAUCAGGAGGUUAGUGCAAUGGCAUAAGCCAGCUUGACUGCGAGCGUGACGGCGCGAGCAGGUGCGAAAGCAGGUCAUAGUGAUCCGGUGGUUCUGAAUGGAAGGGCCAUCGCUCAACGGAUAAAAGGUACUCCGGGGAUAACAGGCUGAUACCGCCCAAGAGUUCAUAUCGACGGCGGUGUUUGGCACCUCGAUGUCGGCUCAUCACAUCCUGGGGCUGAAGUAGGUCCCAAGGGUAUGGCUGUUCGCCAUUUAAAGUGGUACGCGAGCUGGGUUUAGAACGUCGUGAGACAGUUCGGUCCCUAUCUGCCGUGGGCGCUGGAGAACUGAGGGGGGCUGCUCCUAGUACGAGAGGACCGGAGUGGACGCAUCACUGGUGUUCGGGUUGUCAUGCCAAUGGCACUGCCCGGUAGCUAAAUGCGGAAGAGAUAAGUGCUGAAAGCAUCUAAGCACGAAACUUGCCCCGAGAUGAGUUCUCCCUGACCCUUUAAGGGUCCUGAAGGAACGUUGAAGACGACGACGUUGAUAGGCCGGGUGUGUAAGCGCAGCGAUGCGUUGAGCUAACCGGUACUAAUGAACCGUGAGGCUUAACCUUACAACGCCGAAGCUGUU